GACGAACGCUGGCGGCGUGCCUAAUACAUGCAAGUAGAACGCUGAAGAGAGGAGCUUGCUCUUCUUGGAUGAGUUGCGAACGGGUGAGUAACGCGUAGGUAACCUGCCUUGUAGCGGGGGAUAACUAUUGGAAACGAUAGCUAAUACCGCAUAACAAUGGAUGACACAUGUCAUUUAUUUGAAAGGGGCAAUUGCUCCACUACAAGAUGGACCUGCGUUGUAUUAGCUAGUAGGUGAGGUAACGGCUCACCUAGGCGACGAUACAUAGCCGACCUGAGAGGGUGAUCGGCCACACUGGGACUGAGACACGGCCCAGACUCCUACGGGAGGCAGCAGUAGGGAAUCUUCGGCAAUGGGGGCAACCCUGACCGAGCAACGCCGCGUGAGUGAAGAAGGUUUUCGGAUCGUAAAGCUCUGUUGUAAGUCAAGAACGAGUGUGAGAGUGGAAAGUUCACACUGUGACGGUAGCUUACCAGAAAGGGACGGCUAACUACGUGCCAGCAGCCGCGGUAAUACGUAGGUCCCGAGCGUUGUCCGGAUUUAUUGGGCGUAAAGCGAGCGCAGGCGGUUUGAUAAGUCUGAAGUUAAAGGCUGUGGCUCAACCAUAGUUCGCUUUGGAAACUGUCAAACUUGAGUGCAGAAGGGGAGAGUGGAAUUCCAUGUGUAGCGGUGAAAUGCGUAGAUAUAUGGAGGAACACCGGUGGCGAAAGCGGCUCUCUGGUCUGUAACUGACGCUGAGGCUCGAAAGCGUGGGGAGCGAACAGGAUUAGAUACCCUGGUAGUCCACGCCGUAAACGAUGAGCGCUAGGUGUUGGAUCCUUUCCGGGAUUCAGUGCCGCAGCUAACGCAUUAAGCACUCCGCCUGGGGAGUACGACCGCAAGGUUGAAACUCAAAGGAAUUGACGGGGGCCCGCACAAGCGGUGGAGCAUGUGGUUUAAUUCGAAGCAACGCGAAGAACCUUACCAGGUCUUGACAUCCCGAUGCUAUUUCUAGAGAUAGAAAGUUACUUCGGUACAUCGGUGACAGGUGGUGCAUGGUUGUCGUCAGCUCGUGUCGUGAGAUGUUGGGUUAAGUCCCGCAACGAGCGCAACCCCUAUUGUUAGUUGCCAUCAUUCAGUUGGGCACUCUAGCGAGACUGCCGGUAAUAAACCGGAGGAAGGUGGGGAUGACGUCAAAUCAUCAUGCCCCUUAUGACCUGGGCUACACACGUGCUACAAUGGUUGGUACAACGAGUUGCGAGUCGGUGACGGCAAGCUAAUCUCUUAAAGCCAAUCUCAGUUCGGAUUGUAGGCUGCAACUCGCCUACAUGAAGUCGGAAUCGCUAGUAAUCGCGGAUCAGCACGCCGCGGUGAAUACGUUCCCGGGCCU
RNAcentral lists this ribosomal RNA (1369 nucleotides) under uncultured bacterium. Its description in RNAcentral is "bacterial SSU rRNA". It matches the Rfam family "Bacterial small subunit ribosomal RNA", at positions 28 to 1381 of the family's 1533-position model. The record is from RNAcentral.